RNAcentral lists this transfer RNA (76 nucleotides) under Proteus mirabilis. RNAcentral's name for it is "tRNA-Gly". It matches the Rfam family "tRNA". From Rfam's summary of the family: Transfer RNA (tRNA) molecules are approximately 80 nucleotides in length. The record is from RNAcentral. Lineage: Bacteria; Pseudomonadati; Pseudomonadota; Gammaproteobacteria; Enterobacterales; Morganellaceae. RNAcentral also lists the same sequence under 1 other name.
GCGGGAAUAGCUCAGUUGGUAGAGCACAACCUUGCCAAGGUUGGGGUCGCGAGUUCGAGUCUCGUUUACCGCUCCA